RNAcentral lists this long non-coding RNA (1947 nucleotides) under Nicotiana benthamiana. RNAcentral's name for it is "long non-coding RNA (NBEN_LNC017231)". Lineage: Eukaryota; Viridiplantae; Streptophyta; Magnoliopsida; Solanales; Solanaceae. The record is from RNAcentral.
ACUUUGCCUCAUAUGUCCUAAGUUUGUGCAUUUCAGAUUUUGUGGCUUGUGAAUUCUUGAUUUAAAGUGAAAUCUAAUGAUUUUCCUAGUUGAACCUUUGUACAAAAUUUCACUGUACUAAUGGGUUAUUGUUCCAACCUGAUGCCAUUUGGACAUUUUCCUCUGCUGUUGGUUCACUUGCACCUCCCAUGUCAAAUAGUUCAACCCUCUUAUUGCCAAGACUGCUCAUAUACGUUUUUCUCAAGGCCACAUACGAGUUUAGCUCUUUGAUCAUUAAUUGCUUCUCAUCAUUGAGUUGUUUGUUGAUCUCAGGAGGAUUUCUACUCUCCUCAUCUUUAAUUUCAGGAUCAAACUCUUUAAUUAACCUUUUACAUUCUCUCAUCUUCCCUGUAAGCUCUUCCAACUGUUUACUCUGUCUGUUCGAAUCCUGCAUAGCAGCAACGGAAAGAAUAGAGGUAACAGAAAGCAUCCAUUAACUGUAUCAAAGACCUAAAAUAAUAAUCAGAUAUUGAAGGAGCAGCAUCAGGUUUUUAGGAAUUCUUUUCUUGAGAUUCAAAUAACUAUUCAUUGGCCACAAUUUUCUUGAACUUUUAAAAAAUAAAAUUCCUUUUCAAAAACUUUGACUUAUUAAAAAUGUGGGUCUGUAGUACUUGUGCAUAGUUUCCAAAUAGAAGAAAUUUCCUUCUGAAGAAGUCAAUCUAAUCGAUGUCAAAAACCAACCCACGAAUUAGAAGGUUAGAAGUUUGAAUGACAAAUCAUGUCAAUCAAUUUUUGUAGAGUAACUUUAUCGACAAGUAACAGCCUAUGUAUACUGGGAUUGCAGCCCUGAGUCGGUCUGUGUAUACACAUUAUAUAAUGGACAAACCAAGCCAUGCAAAUCCAAAAGUUCAUUAACAGCAAAGCACAUAUCCAGCCUCCAAACAUUGUACACAAUCAAAUUCUAUGUGAUACAGCACCCAAGUUGAGAUAAAAAGAGAUGAAACUUUUCUCGGAACAGAAACCAGAGUGGAGAAAGAAAAAUUGGAGUUAACUCACGUUUUUCUCAAGGCCACAUAUGAGUUUAGCUCUUUGAUCUGCAAAAUUAAGCAAAUUUAGAACAGUAUUCCGUAGAAGUGGUAGGCAUAUUAUUAGUCCAGUAAAUGGACCAAACCAAAAUGUUAGUCUGGCAAAGACUACUGCUACUGUUACUACGCCACAGUCCCGAACACAUUGGGGUCCGCUAAGACAAUGCCCGAAAUUGAUAUUAGCACCCACUAUCUUGAUCCCUUCGUAACAACCUUUUUAUGGAGAUCCAAAGUGGAAAAGUGCAGCUUGUGAUUAGUAAGAGAAGAUGCACACCGAAAGACAAUAACAUAAUGGUUUUGAAGGAUGUGCCAAAGGAUUGGUCGCUUAAGUUUUAUGUGGAUUCACAGACAACUAGAUAGUACACUUGGAAGCAAAGAAAAUAUAAGGAAAGUGAAAAUAACCAAAACUAUAAUGCCGAAGUGCACAAAUCAUGAAAGUCUCAAUUCAAUUCCUGUAAAAAGCAUAAAAAUUUAUGUACAUUAGGAACUCAUUGCUUAUCCAGUAACUCUAAAAUUGAGAGUUUAGUAACAUAGAAUGUCCCUUCCAAAAGUAAACAAUGUUAAGUAAAUCAAAAGGGAUAAUUGUUUCUCCAUUCAAGGUAAUUGCACUUUUUGUAACUAUGGUAGGCUGAGACUGUGCGCUUAGUUUUGUUGGUUAACUAUUAUUUUACAAAUCUCACUCUUUGAUCAAAGCUUAUGUUCAGAACGACAGUGACCAUAGCGCAGCGCACAGGAAAAGGGAAAUGAAUGAAUCAAAAUUAGCAUAUGGUAUAGAAUAAACUAUGAUAAUCAACCAUUGGAAUGCAUGGGUAGCUUACCACUGCAAGCCCAAAUGGCAUUCCGACAAACCCCUUUACUUAAUAAGAGAUUCCAACUAACCAUU